GACGAACGCUGGCGGCGUGCUUAACACAUGCAAGUCGAACGGUGAAGCAGAGCUUGCUCUGUGGAUCAGUGGCGAACGGGUGAGUAACACGUGAGUAACCUGCCCUUGACUCUGGGAUAAGCGUUGGAAACGACGUCUAAUACCGGAUACGAGCUGAGACCGCAUGGUCAUCAGUUGGAAAGAUUUUUUGGUCAAGGAUGGACUCGCAGCCUAUCAGCUUGUUGGUGAGGUAAUGGCUCACCAAGGCGACGACGGGUAGCCGGCCUGAGAGGGUGACCGGCCACACUGGGACUGAGACACGGCCCAGACUCCUACGGGAGGCAGCAGUGGGGAAUAUUGCACAAUGGGCGCAAGCCUGAUGCAGCAACGCCGCGUGAGGGAUGACGGCCUUCGGGUUGUAAACCUCUUUUAGUAGGGAAGAAGCGAAAGUGACGGUACCUGCAGAAAAAGCACCGGCUAACUACGUG
RNAcentral lists this ribosomal RNA (467 nucleotides) under uncultured bacterium. RNAcentral describes it as "partial 16S ribosomal RNA". It matches the Rfam family "Bacterial small subunit ribosomal RNA", at positions 28 to 507 of the family's 1533-position model. The record is from RNAcentral.